This 640-nucleotide ribosomal RNA is filed under the name Salmonella enterica subsp. enterica serovar Durham. RNAcentral describes it as "partial 23S ribosomal RNA". It matches the Rfam family "Bacterial large subunit ribosomal RNA", at positions 699 to 1254 of the family's 2925-position model. Lineage: Bacteria; Pseudomonadati; Pseudomonadota; Gammaproteobacteria; Enterobacterales; Enterobacteriaceae. The record is from RNAcentral.
GUUGCAGGGUAUAGACCCGAAACCCGGUGAUCUAGCCAUGGGCAGGUUGAAGGUUGGGUAACACUAACUGGAGGACCGAACCGACUAAUGUUGAAAAAUUAGCGGAUGACCUGUGGCUGGGGGUGAAAGGCCAAUCAAACCGGGAGAUAGCUGGUUCUCCCCGAAAGCUAUUUAGGUAGCGCCUCGUGAAUUCAUCUCCGGGGGUAGAGCACUGUUUCGGCUAGGGGGCCAUCCCGGCUUACCAACCCGAUGCAAACUGCGAAUACCGGAGAAUGUUAUCACGGGAGACACACGGCGGGUGCUAACGUCCGUCGUGAAGAGGGAAACAACCCAGACCGCCAGCUAAGGUCCCAAAGUCAUGGUUAAGUGGGAAACGAUGUGGGAAGGCCCAGACAGCCAGGAUGUUGGCUUAGAAGCAGCCAUCAUUUAAAGAAAGCGUAAUAGCUCACUGGUCGAGUCGGCCUGCGCGGAAGAUGUAACGGGGCUAAACCAUGCACCGAAGCUGCGGCAGCGAACGUAUCACUUAAAGCGAUUCAGCGGGUUACGAUUGACGGAGCGAAGCGACGUCAAAGCGUAUACAAAGUCGAGUCGGUUUAAGGAUACGUUCGUUGGGUAGGGGAGCGUUCUGUAAGCCUGCGAA